AACGCUGGCGGCAGGCUUAACACAUGCAAGUCGAGCGCCCCGCAAGGGGAGCGGCAGACGGGUGAGUAACGCGUGGGAAUCUACCCUUUUCUACGGAAUAACGCAUGGAAACGUGUGCUAAUACCGUAUGAGCCCUUCGGGGGAAAGAUUUAUCGGGAAAGGAUGAGCCCGCGUUGGAUUAGCUAGUUGGUGGGGUAAAGGCCUACCAAGGCGACGAUCCAUAGCUGGUCUGAGAGGAUGAUCAGCCACAUUGGGACUGAGACACGGCCCAAACUCCUACGGGAGGCAGCAGUGGGGAAUAUUGGACAAUGGGCGCAAGCCUGAUCCAGCCAUGCCGCGUGAGUGAUGAAGGCCCUAGGGUUGUAAAGCUCUUUCACCGGUGAAGAUAAUGACGGUAACCGGAGAAGAAGCCCCGGCUAACUUCGUGCCAGCAGCCGCGGUAAUACNAAGGGGGCUAGCGUUGUUCGGAAUUACUGGGCGUAAAGCGCACGUAGGCGGACAUUUAAGUCAGGGGUGAAAUCCCGGGGCUCAACCCCGGAACUGCCUUUGAUACUGGGUGUCUAGAGUAUGGAAGAGGUGAGUGGAAUUCCNAG
This 593-nucleotide ribosomal RNA is filed under the name Rhizobiales bacterium N21. Its description in RNAcentral is "bacterial SSU rRNA". It matches the Rfam family "Bacterial small subunit ribosomal RNA", at positions 32 to 673 of the family's 1533-position model. Lineage: Bacteria; Pseudomonadati; Pseudomonadota; Alphaproteobacteria; Hyphomicrobiales. The record is from RNAcentral.